CCUACGGGAGGCAGCAGUGGGGAAUAUUGCGCAAUGGGCGAAAGCCUGACGCAGCAACGCCGCGUGGGGGAUGAAGGCCUUCGGGUUGUAAACCUCUUUCAGCAGGGAAGAAGCGAAAGUGACGGUACCUGCAGAAGAAGCACCGGCUAACUACGUGCCAGCAGCCGCGGUAAUACGUAGGGUGCAAGCGUUGUCCGGAUUUAUUGGGCGUAAAGAGCUCGUAGGCGGUUAGUCACGUCGGAUGUGAAAUCCCGGAGCUUAACUCCGGGCCUGCAUUCGAUACGGGCUGACUCGAGUGUUGUAGGGGAGACUGGAACUCCUGGUGUAGCGGUGAAAUGCGCAGAUAUCAGGAAGAACACCGGUGGCGAAGGCGGGUCUCUGGGCAACUACUGACGCUGAGGAGCGAAAGCGUGGGGAGCAAACAGGAUUAGAUACCCUGGUGGUCCACGCCGUAAACGGUGGGCGCUAGGUGUGGGGAACAUUCCACGUUCUCUGCGCCGCAGCUACGACAUAAGUACGCCCGCCGUCGGGAGGUACGGCCGCGAACGGACGUAAACUACAAAUAGAAGUUAGACGGCGUGAGACGUGCCGAACGGACGACGACGAGGGAAGGUAGGAG
This 619-nucleotide ribosomal RNA is filed under the name uncultured bacterium. RNAcentral describes it as "bacterial SSU rRNA". The stretch from base 1 to 525 matches the Rfam family "Bacterial small subunit ribosomal RNA", at positions 338 to 873 of the family's 1533-position model. The record is from RNAcentral.